RNAcentral lists this ribosomal RNA (253 nucleotides) under uncultured bacterium. RNAcentral describes it as "partial 16S ribosomal RNA". It matches the Rfam family "Bacterial small subunit ribosomal RNA", at positions 524 to 775 of the family's 1533-position model. The record is from RNAcentral.
UACGGGGGGUGCGAGCGUUAUUCGGAUUUAUUGGGCGUAAAGGGCGCGUAGGCGGCUGGGUAAGUCUGAUGUGAAAACGCUACCGCUCAACGGAGCGAUUGCAUUGGAAACUACCCAACUUGAGUGCAGCAGAGGUGAGCGGAAUUCCUGGUGUAGCGGUGGAAUACGUAGAUAUCAGGAGGAAUACCCGUGGCGAAGGCGGCUCACUGGGCUGUUACUGACGCUGAGGCGCGAAAGCGUGGGGAGCAAACGG